This 67-nucleotide transfer RNA is filed under the name Phalcoboenus australis. Its description in RNAcentral is "tRNA-Tyr". It matches the Rfam family "tRNA". Rfam says of the family: Transfer RNA (tRNA) molecules are approximately 80 nucleotides in length. Their secondary structure includes four short double-helical elements and three loops (D, anti-codon, and T loops). Lineage: Eukaryota; Metazoa; Chordata; Aves; Falconiformes; Falconidae. The record is from RNAcentral.
GAUGGCCGAGUGUUUAGGCGUUAGGCUGUAGUCCUAUUUUACAGGGGUUCGAUUCCUCUUCUUAUCG